Molecule: non-coding RNA, 25 nt
Filed under: Mus musculus (house mouse)
Lineage: Eukaryota; Metazoa; Chordata; Mammalia; Rodentia; Muridae
Source: RNAcentral
GGCUAUAACAGGUUGUUAGCUUGAU